RNAcentral lists this long non-coding RNA (1380 nucleotides) under Bemisia tabaci. Its description in RNAcentral is "lncRNA ENSSSA2NGG007399". The record is from RNAcentral. Lineage: Eukaryota; Metazoa; Arthropoda; Insecta; Hemiptera; Aleyrodidae.
UUCAAAAUCCAUUCGCCGUCCUGGGCGACACUCUGGGCCAGGCGAAGAGCCCGAGUUCAACUAAAAGCGAGUCGACCGCCAACGCUCAGAGCGGCACGUUUGAGGGCAGUUUCGGACCCUUCAAAUUCUCCGUCUCCAGUCGUCAGCCAGCUCCUCUUCUGGAAGCGGAAACGGACUGAGCGACACUGGUGCAGCUUCCUCCGCCGCUUCCGGUUCCUCUGGAGCCUCUUCCGGUUCCUCAGGUGCCUCUUCCGGUUCCCAGGCUGGCUCGCAUUCAGGAUCCCUAGUCCAUCCCCAUCACACAGACCACCUUCACCCACAUCAUUCGGACCCCACCACCUCUAUCCCCAGGGAUCCUCCAGUUCCAGCGCCAGCAGCUCCAGCGCGACCGGACACGGAAGUCCCGCCUCCACAUCCGGCUCCUCCGCUAACAGCCAAAGCUCCGCGGUCAACCAGGAGCCUUACGCUGAUCCCCACCGACACAAGGAAAAGCCCUACAAGUAUCCUAGCCGACCCUCCGGCUACCAGGAAUCGAAACCUGAGCACCACAACUCCGGAUACCAACCUCAGGAGAAACCCUACGGUCAAGGACACGAGUCGGGGUACAAACCCAAACCUGAGUACAAGCCUGACUCACAAAACCCCGGUUACCUGCCACAAUACAGACCCGAGCACAAGCCCGACUCGUAUAAUCCAGGUUACCAGCCGCAAUACAAACCCGAGCAAAAACCCGAAUACAAGCCCGACUCUUAUAACCCCGGUUACCAGCCCCAAUACAAGCCCGAGCAAAAGCCCGAGUACGGACACUACCCGGAGCACAAACCUGAGUACACAUCGGAGCACUAUCAGCCAGAAUACAAACCCGAACAUAAACCGGAGCACCACCAACCGGAAUACAAACCUGAGUCAGGAUCAGGAUACUCAGGUUAUCGACCUGAAGAGAGGCCGAACCCGUACGACCACGAAUACAAGCACAAGCCCGUUGACGCACCCGUUGACGAGCCGAGCAAGAUCCACUCGCACGCCACCAGCUCGAGCUCGAGCAGCAGUCAGAGUGGGGUCGUGAUCCCGGUUACGGAGAUCUCCAAGGAGCACCCUCAUCCCACCCACGAGCAGGGUACUUACGAGUAUGUUAGGGGUCAGACCCCCGAACAAUCGGCCAGCAGCACGGACAAGAGCGAGUCCGAUUUCGCGGUGCACGUCACGAAACCUAUCGGCUCGAAGGUCACGCCCGAGGGAGAGGUGACCAAACCGACGGGGUCCCUCGACGUCCGGACGUCCGUCGUCAGCACGGACGAAACGAAGAACGGCGUCAAGACGUCCGGGAUCUCCGUUUCGAGCAGCGCCAGCGCCGGUGAUAAACUCGUAUUUUCCAACUGA